Molecule: ribosomal RNA, 477 nt
Filed under: uncultured Streptococcus sp.
Lineage: Bacteria; Bacillati; Bacillota; Bacilli; Lactobacillales; Streptococcaceae
Description: bacterial SSU rRNA
Rfam family: Bacterial small subunit ribosomal RNA
Source: RNAcentral
AAAUUGACGGGAACCCGCACAAGCGGUGGAGUAUGUUGUUUAAUUCGAGGAUACACGAAGAACCUUUACCAGGUCUUGACAUACCAUUGACCGGUCUAGAGAUAGACUUUUCGCUUUCGGGCGACAAUGGAUACAGGUGGUGCAUGGUUGUCGUCAGCUCGUGUCGUGAGAUGUUGGGUUAAGUCCCGCAACGAGCGCAACCCCUAUUGUUAGUUGCCAUCAUUCAGUUGGGCACUCUAGCGAGACUGCCGGUAAUAAACCGGAGGAAGUGGGAUGACGUCAAAUCAUCAUGCCCCUUAUGACCUGGGCUACACACGUGCUACAAUGGUUGGUACAACGAGUUGCGAGUCGGUGACGGCGAGCUAAUCUCUUAAAGCCAAUCUCAGUUCGGAUUGUAGGCUGCAACUCGCCUACAUGAAGUCGGAAUCGCUAGUAAUCGCGGAUCAGCACGCCGCGGUGAAUACGUUCCCGGGCCUU